This 481-nucleotide small RNA is filed under the name Pan troglodytes (chimpanzee). RNAcentral describes it as "retained intron". The record is from RNAcentral. Lineage: Eukaryota; Metazoa; Chordata; Mammalia; Primates; Hominidae.
CCGUGCCUUUGUGCGCUGGCUGCCGGCGGAGUAUGAGGACGGCUUCUCUCUUCCCUACGGCUGGACGCCCGGGGUCAAGCGCAACGGCUUCCCGGUGGCUCUGGCUCGCGCGGUCUCCAACGAGAUCGUGCGCUUCCCCACUGAUCAGCUGACUCCGGACCAGGAGCGCUCACUCAUGUUCAUGCAAUGGGGCCAGCUGUUGGACCACGACCUCGACUUCACCCCUGAGCCGGCCGCCCGGGCCUCCUUCGUCACUGGCGUCAACUGCGAGACCAGCUGCGUUCAGCAGCCGCCCUGCUUCCCGCUCAAGGUGGCCCUGCUUCCCGCCCACUGCCUGGGUUGGGAGAGGGGAGAUUGUUUCUGGAAGGGGCCAUCUCCCUUCUGUGCCCAGGUUUCCUUUCCCAGACGCUGAGGAAGGCUGGCCCUGCCUCCCUUGUGUCCACAGCACUGGCUGCUCAGCUAUGACCUGUCUCCUUCCUGC